GACGAACGCUGGCGGCGUGCUUAACACAUGCAAGUCGAGCGGUAAGGCCCUUUCGGGGGUACACGAGCGGCGAACGGGUGAGUAACACGUGGGUGACCUGCCCUCAGCUCUGGGAUAAGCCUGGGAAACCGGGUCUAAUACUGGAUAUGACUCCAUGACGCAUGUUGUGGGGUGAAAGCCUUGUGCGGCUGAGGAUGGGCCCGCGGCCUAUCAGCUU
Molecule: ribosomal RNA, 217 nt
Filed under: uncultured bacterium
Lineage: Bacteria
Description: partial 16S ribosomal RNA
Rfam family: Bacterial small subunit ribosomal RNA
Source: RNAcentral